CCUACGGGAGGCAGCAGUGAGGAAUAUUGGUCAAUGGGCUUACGCCUGAACCAGCCAAGUCGCGUGAGGGAAGACUGCCCUAUGGGUUGUAAACCUCUUUUGUCGGGGAGCAAGGCCCGCCACGUGUGGCGGGAAGGAGAGUACCCGAAGAACAAGCAUCGGCUAACUCCGUGCCAGCAGCCGCGGUAAUACGGAGGAUGCGAGCGUUAUCCGGAUUUAUUGGGUUUAAAGGGUGCGUAGGCGGAAGGUUAAGUCAGCGGUAAAAUGUCGGUGCUCAACACCGGCCUGCCGUUGAAACUGGUCUUCUUGAGUGAGCGAGAAGUAUGCGGAAUGCGUGGUGUAGCGGUGAAAUGCAUAGAUAUCACGCAGAACUCCGAUUGCGAAGGCAGCAUACCGGCGCUCAACUGACGCUGAGGCACGAAAGCGUGGGGAUCGAACAGGAUUAGAUACCCGUGUAGUC
Molecule: ribosomal RNA, 460 nt
Filed under: uncultured bacterium
Lineage: Bacteria
Description: partial 16S ribosomal RNA
Rfam family: Bacterial small subunit ribosomal RNA
Source: RNAcentral